RNAcentral lists this ribosomal RNA (433 nucleotides) under uncultured bacterium. RNAcentral's name for it is "partial 16S ribosomal RNA". It matches the Rfam family "Bacterial small subunit ribosomal RNA", at positions 29 to 507 of the family's 1533-position model. The record is from RNAcentral.
AACGAACGCUGGCGGCAUGCCUAACACAUGCAAGUCGAACGAGACCUUCGGGUCUCGUGGCGCACGGGUGCGUAACGCAUGGGAACCUGCCCUUAGGUUCGGAAUAACCCCCCGAAAGGGGUGCUAAUACCGGGUAAUGUCUUCGGACCAAAGAUUUAUCGCCUUUGGAUGGGCCCGCGUUGGUUUAGCCAGUGUGUAGGGUAAAUGUCUACCAAGGCGACGAUCCAUAGCUGUUCAGAGAGGAUGAUCAGCCACACUGGGACUGAGACACGGCCCAGACUCCUACGGGAAGCAGCAGUGGGGAAUAGUGGACAAUGGGCGAAAGCCUGAUCCAGCAAUGCCGGGUGAGUGAUGAAGGCCUUAGGGUUGUAAAGCUCUUUUACCCGGGAUGAUAAUGACAGUACCGGGAGAAUAAGCUCCGGCUAACUCCGUG